AGCAGCCGCGGUAAUUCCAGCUCCAAUAGCGUAUAUUAAAGUUGUUGCAGUUAAAAAGCUCGUAGUUGAAUUUCGGGAUCAGUAGGUUGGUCAUGCCUUUGGUAUGUACUGGCCUCACUGAUUCCUCCCUCUUGAAGAACUGUAAUGUUAUUAAUUUGGUGUUGCGGGGAAUCAGGACUGUUACUUUGAAAAAAUUAGAGUGUUUAAAGCAGGCUUACGCUUGAAUACAUUAGCAUGGAAUAAUGAAAUAGGACGUUUGAUCCUAUUUUGUUGGUUUCUAGGAUUGACGUAAUGAUUAAUAGGGAUAGUUGGGGGCAUUAGUAUUCAAUUGUCAGAGGUGGAAUUCUUGGAUUUAUUGAAGACUAACUACUGCGAAAGCAUUUGCCAAGGAUGUUUUCAUUAAUCAAGAACGAAAGUUAGGGGAUCGAAGACGAUCAGAUACCGUCGUAGUCUUAACCAUAAACUAUGCCGACUAGGGAUCGGAUGAUGUUAAUUUUUUAAUGACUCAUGCGGCGCCUUA
Molecule: unclassified non-coding RNA, 520 nt
Filed under: uncultured Glomus
Lineage: Eukaryota; Fungi; Glomeromycota; Glomeromycetes; Glomerales; Glomeraceae
Description: SSU rRNA
Rfam family: Eukaryotic small subunit ribosomal RNA
Source: RNAcentral